RNAcentral lists this long non-coding RNA (910 nucleotides) under Oryctolagus cuniculus (rabbit). Its description in RNAcentral is "lncRNA (ENSOCUG00000032840.1)". The record is from RNAcentral. Lineage: Eukaryota; Metazoa; Chordata; Mammalia; Lagomorpha; Leporidae.
GAGUAAGAAUUUCAAGAGAAUGAGCUCAUAAGGAGUAGUACCUGCAGGAAGUAUACCAUGUGCUGCAGAAUGAAGAGAAAUCUUGUUGCCUUACAAUGCCAAGCAAAUACACGUAACACCUGUCUUGGGAAUAUUGAAAGAACAAAAUGAAUAAACAUGGGAGAUGCACUCAAUAGUUCAUCUGCUGAUAGAAACAACUCCUUCAUCAAGUCCAGGGGAGCCCUGACUGAGUUUGACCUCCCAGUGAGGCCCCUUAGAGAGGCGUGUCAGUCCCAGCCUGUACCUUCUCACCUCUCUGUGAGGCUUCUUCUAAGACUAAGUUUGAUGAAAAGGCCACAGAUUGCACUUGUGGACUUUGUUUUCUGCAGUCACUGCUUGCUUUGCCAUUUGACCAAUGAACAGAGAAAGGUAUCCAUGAAGUUUUAUACCUCCUUCUGGCUACUGAAGGUCUCUAAUGUGCAGCAAGAGUGGCACUCACAGAAGUUCUUAUCUCAGGAUUUGAUCGCAGGCUAAGAUGGGCUUCCCUGGCCACCAGCCUGGCACUCACCUUGUGGCCUUUCUCCUUAUGCCCUGAUCUCCACGUCACCCCCAGCAGAUAUCCUGUCUCAUCAAAAUACUAUCUUGCAAAGAAAUUUAGUAUUUCUGACUUUCUACACCUAUUUUAACUUGAAUUAAACAGAAGAUAUGUUACAGAUAUGAAAAUGUAAAGACAUUAAAAUGUUUGUGUGAUAAAGUUCAGUUUCUUAGAUUUGUCCAAUAUUGAACUUUGUUGUACUUAUUCACAAUUUGGUGGAUGUCACAAUAGUUUUCAACCUUGUUUAACGCAUUAUGCCCCAUCAUCCUAUGUAUAGCACACCAGUAAAACAAAUUGAGCAAUAAAUGUACCACUUAUGAUAUCUUUGAGCUAAAU